GCCUUCGUGGUGUAGUGGUCAGCACGCUCGACUCGUACCCGAGAGGACCGUGGUUCGAUUCCCGGCGAAGGUG
Molecule: non-coding RNA, 73 nt
Organism: Stegodyphus mimosarum
Lineage: Eukaryota; Metazoa; Arthropoda; Arachnida; Araneae; Eresidae
Source: Rfam